Molecule: long non-coding RNA, 481 nt
Organism: Lathyrus oleraceus (garden pea)
Lineage: Eukaryota; Viridiplantae; Streptophyta; Magnoliopsida; Fabales; Fabaceae
Exons: 2
Source: RefSeq, a predicted model, not a curated record
UUUGCUACUUCUGUUAUUGAUUUGUGAUGAAGUUAAUGCCUUCAUGGACUACUUUGGUGAUGAUCUGCUAUGCCAUGUCCUUAUGUUGUUAUGAACUAAUGGUUUGCAUUGUAAUACUUGCUGCGUGCCUCUUCUGUUAUGAAAUGAAAAUCUAUACAUGUAAUUAAAUUUGCACUGAAUAUUAUAUGGAACUCUCAUGUACUUAUGAGCUUAUGUUGUGUUCCAGGCCAUUGAGAGUUUGCUCAGCAAAAAGAUAUUCCUUAAUAUAGAGUAUGGAGUCAAUGGAUACGAGUGAGUAUGCACAAGGUCAAGAUGAAACUCAUAAGGAAAUAUUGUCAACACUUUGGAUUAUUUUCACUAAAAUCGGCAAAGGAAAAGAUGGAGUUGAAAGAGCUGCAUGCAAUUUUUGUAGUACUGAUUUUGCCAUUGGAAAAAACCCCAAGUCUGGUCAAAGUUAUGGAACUUCACAUCUAAGUCGUCA